GACGGAGGGUGCAAGCGUUGCUCGGAAUCACUGGGCGUAAAGGGUGCGUAGGCGGGUCUUUAAGUCAGGGGUGAAAUCCUGGAGCUCAACUCCAGAACUGCCUUUGAUACUGGCGAUCUUGAGUCCGGGAGAGGUGAGUGGAACUGCGAGUGUAGAGGUGAAAUUCGUAGAUAUUCGCAAGAACACCAGUGGCGAAGGCGGCUCACUGGCCCGGUACUGACGCUGAGGUGCGAAAGCGUGGGGAGCAAACAGG
Molecule: ribosomal RNA, 253 nt
Filed under: uncultured bacterium
Lineage: Bacteria
Description: partial 16S ribosomal RNA
Rfam family: Bacterial small subunit ribosomal RNA
Source: RNAcentral